AUUGAACGCUGGCGGCAUGCCUUACACAUGCAAGUCGAACGGCAGCACGGGAGCAAUCCUGGUGGCGAGUGGCGAACGGGUGAGUAAUAUAUCGGAACGUGCCCAGUCGUGGGGGAUAACGUAGCGAAAGCUACGCUAAUACCGCAUACGAUCUAUGGAUGAAAGCGGGGGAUCGCAAGACCUCGCGCGAUUGGAGCGGCCGAUAUCAGAUUAGGUAGUUGGUGAGGUAAAGGCUCACCAAGCCGACGAUCUGUAGCUGGUCUGAGAGGACGACCAGCCACACUGGGACUGAGACACGGCCCAGACUCCUACGGGAGGCAGCAGUGGGGAAUUUUGGGACAAUGGGCGCAAGCCUGAUCCAGCAAUGCCGCGUGCAGGAUGAAGGCCUCGG
This 391-nucleotide ribosomal RNA is filed under the name uncultured bacterium. Its description in RNAcentral is "bacterial SSU rRNA". It matches the Rfam family "Bacterial small subunit ribosomal RNA", at positions 29 to 420 of the family's 1533-position model. The record is from RNAcentral.